CCUACGGGGGGCAGCAGUGAGGAAUAUUGGUCAAUGGACGAGAGUCUGAACCAGCCAAGUAGCGUGAAGGAUGACUGCCCUAUGGGUUGUAAACUUCUUUUAUAUGGGAAUAAAACGUUCCACGUGUGGGAUUUUGUAUGUACCAUAUGAAUAAGGAUCGGCUAACUCCGUGCCAGCAGCCGCGGUAAUACGGAGGAUCCGAGCGUUAUCCGGCUUUAUUGGGUGUAAAGGGAGCGUAGGUGGAUUGUUAAGUCAGUUGUGAAAGUUUGCGGCUCAACCGUAAAAUUGCAGUUGAAACUGGCAGUCUUGAGUACAGUAGAGGUGGGCGGAAUUCGUGGUGUAGCGGUGAAAUGCUUAGAUAUCACGAAGAACUCCGAUUGCGAAGGCAGUUCACUGGACUGCAACUGACACUGAGGCUCGAAAGUGUGGGUAUCAAACAGGAUUAGAUACCCCUGUAGUC
This 460-nucleotide ribosomal RNA is filed under the name uncultured bacterium. Its description in RNAcentral is "partial 16S ribosomal RNA". It matches the Rfam family "Bacterial small subunit ribosomal RNA", at positions 338 to 795 of the family's 1533-position model. The record is from RNAcentral.